CGAGGCUAUGAUCCAGUUCGCAAUGAUCCGGCUGAUUUCGGCUCGGCUGGCCGGCGAGCAACUCCCCGAAUCUCGC
This 76-nucleotide transfer RNA is filed under the name Pseudonocardia autotrophica. Its description in RNAcentral is "tRNA-Arg". Lineage: Bacteria; Bacillati; Actinomycetota; Actinomycetes; Pseudonocardiales; Pseudonocardiaceae. The record is from RNAcentral.